This 253-nucleotide ribosomal RNA is filed under the name uncultured bacterium. RNAcentral describes it as "partial 16S ribosomal RNA". It matches the Rfam family "Archaeal small subunit ribosomal RNA", at positions 474 to 727 of the family's 1478-position model. The record is from RNAcentral.
UACCAGCACCCCGAGUGGUCGGGACGAUUAUUGGGCCUAAAGCAUCCGUAGCCGGUUUUACAAGUCCUCCGUUAAAUCCAACUGCUUAACAGAUGGGCCGCGGAGGAUACUACAAGGCUAGGAGGCGGAAGAGGCAAGCGGUACUCAGUGGGUAGGGGUAAAAUCCUCUGAUCCAUUGAAGACCACCAGUGGCGAAGGCGGCUUGCCAAUACGCGCUCGACGGUGAGGGAUGAAAGCUGGGGGAGCAAACCGG